AGUGAACGCUGGCGGUAGGCCUAACACAUGCAAGUCGAACGGCAGCACAGUAAGAGCUUGCUCUUACGGGUGGCGAGUGGCGGACGGGUGAGGAAUACAUCGGAAUCUACUUUUUCGUGGGGGAUAACGUAGGGAAACUUACGCUAAUACCGCAUACGACCUACGGGUGAAAGCAGGGGAUCUUCGGACCUUGCGCGAUUGAAUGAGCCGAUGUCGGAUUAGCUAGUUGGCGGGGUAAAGGCCCACCAAGGCGACGAUCCGUAGCUGGUCUGAGAGGAUGAUCAGCCACACUGGAACUGAGACACGGUCCAGACUCCUACGGGAGGCAGCAGUGGGGAAUAUUGGACAAUGGGCGCAAGCCUGAUCCAGCCAUACCGCGUGGGUGAAGAAGGCCUUCGGGUUGUAAAACCCUUUUGUUGGGAAAGAAAAGCAGCAGGUUAAUACCCCGCUGUUCUGACGGUACCCAAAGAAUAAGCACCGACUAACUUCGUG
RNAcentral lists this ribosomal RNA (492 nucleotides) under uncultured bacterium. RNAcentral describes it as "partial 16S ribosomal RNA". It matches the Rfam family "Bacterial small subunit ribosomal RNA", at positions 29 to 507 of the family's 1533-position model. The record is from RNAcentral.